RNAcentral lists this long non-coding RNA (1774 nucleotides) under Triticum aestivum (bread wheat). RNAcentral's name for it is "long non-coding RNA (TAES_LNC026051)". Lineage: Eukaryota; Viridiplantae; Streptophyta; Magnoliopsida; Poales; Poaceae. The record is from RNAcentral.
UUGCAAUUUGAUUGAAGUCUCUGCUAUCACUAAAGCAAGUAUGCAUGUUCGUGAUUUAGGAUUAAUUCUUCUUCCAUGACAUGGGCCUCUCUCUCAUCUUGUUCACUUAUAUUUCCCACGGUGUUGUAGUUUCCUUGUUAUAACAAUUUAUAAUAUAGUGCAUGACAUCACUAAUUUGCAUCCGCAUGAUAGUCAUAAAAAUCCCUUUCCUGUUUGCCGUUGCUACUUAUGCUUUUAGAUAGUCGUUGAAACCUGUAAUUUUCUGUUCAAGCAUUCAUUCUGUGUGGUUACCCGAUCAAAUUUUUUUCCAAGCCAAGUAUGUUUGCAAAUAAUGUUGCAAGAUAUUUCUCAUAUAACACGACCUAGUGGAGUACCCAAACAAACACUAUUGAGCUCUUUUCAGUAAAAAAAAAGUACUAUAGUGAUGAUGUUAUGGUAAGUGUAGAAAUGACUAUUUUGCAGCGUAUAGACUUGUUUAUGCUUCACAAUGUCAAGAAUAGACAUGUUACAUGUUUAUUAUUAUACUUGGUACAUGGUUCACUUGUUUGUAUUAGGGAGUGGCUCUGCUAAUAUUGUUCUUGUCGAACUCAUGACCAGUUUUUGAGUGAUUAAAAUGUCCAGCAGCUUUGAGGGUUCAACACAUGAUUUUAUCAUAAGAUAUGCUCUUUUCUUAUUUGUACAUACGAUAAGCUAUUUGAAAAUGGCAAGUUUUAUAAAGGAUGGAUUUCUAUUAGGACAAUUAUGUAAAUAAUUGUAUUGCUUAAUUCCGCGGGUUGUUACGAAUCUCUAGAAUGCACUAGAAUUAUUUUCCUGUACAAGAUAAAUAAUAUUUGUAUAAUUUGUUCAUUAUUGCUAAGUUAGGAUUAUCCACAAAAUAGUUGGCUUGUCUGCCAUUUCCAACAUAGAAACAUACUUUAGGUUGCCUUUUGCGAUUAAUGUCAUAUCUUCUCUAUUUAUCCUUCCUUGUAGUGUGUGCAGCACACAGUUAGAUGGUGGUUGUUUAUGUAUAUUUAUUUGAACAGCUCAUGAUUAAUUUUUUAAGUAUGAAUGUAUGGCACAUACAUGGACUUGCGCUGAGGCUGGUCACAAUGAGGAGGAACUUAGGAGUAACAUCACACACUCCAAUACAACUUUGCUUAUGUGUCACAUAUUUAAUGAAGAGAGAGGUGCUUGUGGUAACUAGCUAAGUUACCGAAACAUCACACACUCCAAGAAACAAUGAGUCUAUAACCUAAUAAAUACAUUGUUGCAUGACACUACAUAGAUGUUCCUACCCACUGUGGAGAUAGUAACAUAGUCUAGGGAAGUGUGUAAGUUACUAGACUAUGUUCUUGCCCAUUGUGACCAGCCUAACUAAAUCAUAUUUGCUACGUCUGAACUCUCCCAGGACAACAAGCUCGACGAACAAGAAGCACUGCAUCUGGAGGCAACUGUUGUGUGCCGUCAAGAUAGCAACGUUCAUGCAGUUCUUAAUGGCAAUGCUUGUUGAGCGAUGAUUAUUAUAGUCCUUCAGACUUACCCUUGCCCGUCAUGUACCAAAGUUGAUGCAGUUUUCGCUAGCAAUACUUGAUCCUGUGAUAUGAGUGUCUUCUGUGUUAUGCCUGGGAUGUUACAGUUUGACAUGUACUAAAAAAUGCGGCGCUGAUAGUCCAGUUUGACAUGCACUCAAGUAUUUGUUUCUGGAAUGGUUCAUUUUAACAUUUAUGCCAUUUCUUGUGCCUGGUAUGGUCCAGCUUACACGUACUCACAUAUUAGUGUGUGAUGGUCAUGUUCA